CCUACGGGAGGCUGCAGUGGGGGAUAUUGCACAAUGGGGGGAACCCUGAUGCAGCGACGCCGCGUGUGGGAAGACGGUCCUCUGGAUUGUAAACCACUGUCCCCAGGGACGAAAAUGACGGUACCUGGGGAGGAAGCUCCGGCUAACUACGUGCCAGCAGCCGCGGUAAUACGUAGGGGGCAAGCGUUAUCCGGAUUUACUGGGUGUAAAGGGAGCGUAGACGGCUGUGCAAGUCUGGAGUGAAAGGCAUGGGCUCAACCUGUGGACUGCUUUGGAAACUGUGCGGCUUGAGUGUCGGAGAGGCAAGUGGAAUUCCUAGUGUAGCGGUGAAAUGCGUAGAUAUUAGGAGGAACACCAGUGGCGAAGGCGGCUUGCUGGACGAUGACUGACGUUGAGGCUCGAAAGCGUGGGGAGCAAACAGGAUUAGAUACCCUAGUAGUC
Molecule: ribosomal RNA, 441 nt
Filed under: uncultured bacterium
Lineage: Bacteria
Description: partial 16S ribosomal RNA
Rfam family: Bacterial small subunit ribosomal RNA
Source: RNAcentral